CUACGGGUCGCACCAGUGAGGAAUAUUGCACAAUGGGGGGAACCCUGAUGCAGCAACGCCGCGUGGAGGAUGACGCAUUUCGGUGUGUAAACUCCUUUUAUAUGUCAAGAAAAUGACGGUAGCAUAUGAAUAAGCACCGGCUAACUCCGUGCCAGCAGCCGCGGUAAUACGGAGGGUGCAAGCGUUACUCGGAAUCACUGGGCGUAAAGGACGCGUAGGCGGGUUGGAAAGUCAGGUGUGAAAUCCUACAGCUUAACUGUAGAACUGCACUUGAAACUUCUAAUCUAGAGUAUGGGAGGGGGCGAUGGAAUUAGUGGUGUAGGGGUAAAAUCCGUAGAUAUCACUAGGAAUACCUAAAGCGAAGGCGAUCUCCUGGAACAUUACUGACGCUAAGGCGUGAAAGCGUGGGGAGCAAACAGGAUUAGAUACCCGCGAGUC
RNAcentral lists this ribosomal RNA (438 nucleotides) under uncultured bacterium. Its description in RNAcentral is "partial 16S ribosomal RNA". It matches the Rfam family "Bacterial small subunit ribosomal RNA", at positions 339 to 795 of the family's 1533-position model. The record is from RNAcentral.